RNAcentral lists this ribosomal RNA (468 nucleotides) under uncultured bacterium. RNAcentral describes it as "partial 16S ribosomal RNA". It matches the Rfam family "Bacterial small subunit ribosomal RNA", at positions 28 to 507 of the family's 1533-position model. The record is from RNAcentral.
GACGAACGCUGGCGGCGUGCUUAACACAUGCAAGUCGAACGGAAAGGCCCUGCUUUUGUGGGGUGCUCGAGUGGCGAACGGGUGAGUAACACGUGAGUAACCUGCCCUUGACUUUGGGAUAACUUCAGGAAACUGGGGCUAAUACCGGAUAGGAGCUCCUGCUGCAUGGUGGGGGUUGGAAAGUUUCGGCGGUUGGGGAUGGACUCGCGGCUUAUCAGCUUGUUGGUGGGGUAGUGGCUUACCAAGGCUUUGACGGGUAGCCGGCCUGAGAGGGUGACCGGCCACAUUGGGCCUGAGGUACGGCCCAGACUCCUACGGGAGGCAGCAGUGGGGAAUAUUGCACGAUGGGCGGAAGCCUGAUGCAGCAACGCCGCGUGCGGGAUGACGGCCUUCGGGUUGUAAACCGCUUUCGCCUGUGACGAAGCGUGAGUGACGGUAAUGGGUAAAGAAGCACCGGCUAACUACGUG